AAUACAGGAUCUUUGUAUGCAUGUGUAGAACAAGCAGCAAAUGGGCAUGGUUCAGUGUUCCCCUGUCAACUUGUACGCCACUGAGAAGUGACCCUCCCAGGGAUGCAUUCUUGUGGGAAGCCCCUUCCUGAGACCACGGCAUGCAGUCUGGUGUAUUGUCAUCACUGAUUAGCUGCAGGUGGAUAUUUCUUUAAAAAAGAAAACUCUCAACGGGGCUCAUUUACUGAAUUGUUGAUUGUUUUGAACAUUGCAAUUUCUCUACCAUUUCAUUCCAAAAAAAAGAAAAGUCAGUUUAAACGUACUUUCUGAUUGUCCAAGAACUGUAAAGGAAAUUACGCUUGAACAACAUUCUGUCUUUUUCAACACAAAGUAUGCUGUUGUUGCACUUCUUGUCCUCUCCAGGCAAGGGUUUGUCUUCAGUGUCUGGGGAAUUUUCUGUGAAGAAUGUUUUUGGACUGAGUGAGCACAGUCUUUGCUUCUGAAGUCCCAGGAUGCCUGUCAUUUCCUGCUAACAUAAGCCUCUGUACCUCUCUAAAGAUUAAAAUGAUAUUCAUGCAAUAUGAGAAACUCUAAAGAAAUAAAAAAGCAUCCUAACAAUGUUUAUUGAUAAUUAGUAAAAAAAAAUAUAUUUUCUGGAGUUGUAUACUUUAUUUUUAUCAGAAUGAGGAUUUUUCCCUAGAAAUAAUUUUCUCUAUUACAAGAAAAUCAGCAACUACAGCAGCAGUAGCAGUAAGAAGUCUUGAGAGUAAACAGUGGAGGAUAUUCCAUAAAAUAUAUUCUUGGUUGAAGAGUUCCCUUUCACUUGAUAUCUUCAAAAACAGUACCUAAAUGAGUAAUUUUAAGUAUUCUUUUUUUUUUUUUUUUUUUUUUCUGUUUGUCUCACAUUUCCGUGCUAAAUUUUGUUGUACAAUUACUAAACUCAAAGUGAUGUUUGACUGGCUGUAUGUCCACACAAAAAAGUUUCCACUGUCUGACAUACUUGAUUAAAAAUGGUCCAAAUGUAGAGUUACAUAAUCCAGAAGGUUACUGGAGUUUUGGUUAACUUGGUAAAUCAAGAACAUGGCAGUAGUAACUCCUGUCUAGCCUGAUGAAAAGUUGCAAUUUUUGAAGUAAACUCUGGCUAUUGUGUACACUACUCUUAAAUUAAUUGCCCAGCACUUACAUCUUGUAGUUAGCAAAACCUUGUGAAAAUCUUUGUCUGAGAGACCCAGUAAAGUGAGACAGUAAUAGAUUAAACAAUUAAAUGAAACUUGUGAAAUUUACUACAGUUAAGUGAACAGGAAAGAAUGAUGAGGAGAAGCCAGAAGCAGAACUGUAUAGUUUUGGCUUUGCCAAAAUUUGUCAUUCCUAAAACAUUUCUCAGUGUAGUUUUAUCAGCACUGGAGUUGUUUUGAGGAAAUGUUCAGAUUAAAACAAACAAACAAACAAACAAAAAAAAAAAAAAAUGGAAGAAUACACAGAAA
Long non-coding RNA from Tympanuchus pallidicinctus (lesser prairie-chicken), 1463 nucleotides. RefSeq lists it as uncharacterized. The record is from RefSeq and is a predicted model, not a curated record. NCBI's taxonomy places the organism in Eukaryota, Metazoa, Chordata, Aves, Galliformes, Phasianidae. The transcript has 2 exons.